Scylla paramamosain (green mud crab) is the source of this 597-nucleotide long non-coding RNA. RefSeq lists it as uncharacterized. NCBI's taxonomy places the organism in Eukaryota, Metazoa, Arthropoda, Malacostraca, Decapoda, Portunidae. The transcript has 3 exons. The record is from RefSeq and is a predicted model, not a curated record.
UUGUAUUUUGAUACGCUUCUCUCUCUAGGCCAGAAAGAUCAUUAGUCGGAUUUUUAUGGGUGUCAUUUCCAUUGAUUAAGCAAAAUCAUGAAAAUCCUACAAAAAAAAAAAAAAAAAAUAGUAAGUAGUGCGUGACCAUCCACUAAGCGUCGGCCACCACCCUUCCAGUCUCGACAAGAAGCUCGAAGCGCGGAGAGUCGAAACUUUAGUCAAGACCACCGACGCCCUACACACUCGACGUUGACGGUGCUGAAGCUGGUGCUUCCUUGUACCUUGUGUCGCUGCCUACCAACCUGCGAUUUGCUUAUAAAAGGACUUGCCACAUCAACUGAGCUGAACUCACAAGAAAUGACUACUGAGAAAACAUUAAAAAUUGCCAUGUGCUACAAGACGAGCCUUCCCAGAAAGGAAAUUUAAUGAUUCAAGCUUCAUCGUGAGCUAUUCUCUAUAACCACAGUUUGAGUUGAGGACCGUGAAGUCCAGCCCCAAGUCCUGCACGUCCCCUUGGUAGGUCUUGAGGGAGAGCAGGUUGCGGCACAACUCUGGAUCCAGAGAAUCCAAGUGGUGAAUCUCAGCCGAGGAAGAGGACCGACCUAG